UCAUCAUUGUUUCUGCCUUGGCCAUGUGU
This 29-nucleotide non-coding RNA is filed under the name Rattus norvegicus (Norway rat). Lineage: Eukaryota; Metazoa; Chordata; Mammalia; Rodentia; Muridae. The record is from RNAcentral.